UGAAGAAUUUGUCCAACGGUGGGGGAUAGCCGGCCCAACGGCCGGGUAAUACCGCGUACGCCCUUCGAGCGGCAUCGCUUGAUGGGGAAAGUCGCAAGACGCCGAUGGAGAACUUCGCGGCCUAUCAACUAGUUGGUGAGGUCAUGGCUCACCAAGGCGACGACGGGUAGCUGGUCCGAGAGGAUGACCAGCCACAUUGGGACUGAGACACGGCCCAGACUCCGUACGGGGAGGCAG
Molecule: ribosomal RNA, 237 nt
Filed under: uncultured bacterium
Lineage: Bacteria
Description: partial 16S ribosomal RNA
Rfam family: Bacterial small subunit ribosomal RNA
Source: RNAcentral